AUUGGGUCUGAAUUAGAGUUAAUUAAGUUAUACAAAUUGAAAAUUAAGAUUAUUAUGAAUUAAAUUUACUUAUGACGGUCCAAUUUGAAGAUGCAAUUUAUUGACAGAGAUUUUGAGUUUGAUCUAAAAUCGGAGGCAUAAAUGAUUUGAGGAACCAAAACUGAGGAUGGAAGUAAGUUUAAUUUAAUAUUUAAAGCCUUUUGGGAGUUUGAUUAAAAAUCUGAUUCAGACUAAUAAUUUAUAUAUAAUUAAUUAAACUCUAAUGGAAAUCAAAUUAGAUUAAUUACAUUAUGUGGGGUUUAUGAUAAGUUAAGAGUAAUUUAAUUAUGUGCUAAUCAAGACUUAAUUGGGUUUAAUGGGAUUAAUUAACCAAGUGUUACUUGUAAUUAGUUAAGAUUAAGUGGGUUUAAUUGAGUUAAUACAUAAUUAGCCAUUAAGCUAAUCUUAUUCAUUUAUUAAUCAAAGAAAAGUGUAGAUGACUCUAGAGUAGUGGUGUGUGAGUGUGUGAUAUAUGUGCUGAAGCCUUGGAGUCUAAAAUAUAGAGAAAGAAAGAGAGAAAGCCGUGAGAGGCAGAGGCAGAGACAGAGAGAGUCCACGAACCUCAGAGACAGAGAGAGUCCACGAACAUCAAGAAAUUGAGAAGGAAGAAGAGAAAUUGAAGGGGAAAACUCAUGAACUCAUCAAGGAACUCAAGAAUUUAAGCUCUAGGUCACACGCUAUUGUCUGCCUGAUUUAUCUGAUCUGUCUAGCCUGUCUGAUUUGCUUCUGCAGCUAUCUUAUGCUAUCUGUACCCGGACCGGAUGUUUCUUAUAGAACUGACAAGCUAUCUGUACCCGACUGGAGGUUUCUUUACGGAACUGAUAAGUUAUCCGUUCCUAGUCCGGAGGUUCCUUUAUGGAACUGACAAGUUAUCCGUACCCUGCCGGAGGUUCCUCCAUGGAACUGACAAGUGAUCAGGCGCGUGACCAAGCUUAGAGGCGUCUGCUUGGAAUCUGCUUUUGUCAGCCAACUUAUGUGCCUCCCGUGGAGAUUCCGGAUAUGUCAAAUGGUUAUGGCUAUGUGAUUAAAGUUUAAGUUUUAUUUUCUUGAUUGGUUAAACAAGUUUUUGUUUAUUUUGUAAAUAGGGCUAAGUCCCUUUUUGUCUAGCCUAUAUAUAUAUGAUGAUGUGUAAAUGUAUGAAUGUAAAGUUCAAAAUUUUUCAGUCUCA
Camellia sinensis is the source of this 1207-nucleotide non-coding RNA. The record is from RefSeq and is a predicted model, not a curated record. NCBI's taxonomy places the organism in Eukaryota, Viridiplantae, Streptophyta, Magnoliopsida, Ericales, Theaceae.